AGCAGAGUGGCGCAGCGGGAGCAUUGGGCCCAUAACCCAGAGGUUGAUGGAUCGAAACCAUUCUCUGCUA
This 70-nucleotide transfer RNA is filed under the name Astyanax mexicanus (Mexican tetra). It matches the Rfam family "tRNA". Rfam says of the family: Transfer RNA (tRNA) molecules are approximately 80 nucleotides in length. Their secondary structure includes four short double-helical elements and three loops (D, anti-codon, and T loops). Further hydrogen bonds mediate the characteristic L-shaped molecular structure. tRNAs have two regions of fundamental functional importance: the anti-codon, which is responsible for specific mRNA codon recognition, and the 3' end, to which the tRNAs corresponding amino acid is attached (by aminoacyl-tRNA synthetases). tRNAs cope with the degeneracy of the genetic code in two manners: having more than one tRNA (with a specific anti-codon) for a particular amino acid; and 'wobble' base-pairing, i.e. permitting non-standard base-pairing at the 3rd anti-codon position. Lineage: Eukaryota; Metazoa; Chordata; Actinopteri; Characiformes; Acestrorhamphidae. The record is from Rfam by way of RNAcentral.